CCCUGUGACAUACCUAUACGUUGCCUCGGCGGAUCAGCCCGCGCCCCGUAAAACGGGACGGCCCGCCCGAGGACCCCUAAACUCUGUUUUUAGUGGAACUUCUGAGUAAAACAAACAAAUAAAUCAAAACUUUCAACAACGGAUCUCUUGGUUCUGGCAUCGAUGAAGAACGCAGCAAAAUGCGAUAAGUAAUGUGAAUUGCAGAAUUCAGUGAAUCAUCGAAUCUUUGAACGCACAUUGCGCCCGCCAGUAUUCUGGCGGGCAUGCCUGUUCGAGCGUCAUUUCAACCCUCAAGCUCAGCUUGGUGUUGGGACUCGCGGUAACCCGCGUUCCCCAAAUCGAUUGGCGGUCACGUCGAGCUUCCAUAGCGUAGUAAUCAUACACCUCGUUACUGGUAAUCGUCGCGGCCACGCCGUAAAACCCCAACUUCUGAAUGUUGACCUCGGAUCAGGUAGGAAUACCCGCUGAACUUAAGCAUAUCAAUAAGCGGAGGAA
Molecule: ribosomal RNA, 495 nt
Filed under: Fusarium chlamydosporum
Lineage: Eukaryota; Fungi; Ascomycota; Sordariomycetes; Hypocreales; Nectriaceae
Description: eukaryotic LSU rRNA
Rfam family: 5.8S ribosomal RNA (bases 128-281)
Source: RNAcentral